Molecule: transfer RNA, 73 nt
Filed under: Plasmodium falciparum (malaria parasite P. falciparum)
Lineage: Eukaryota; Apicomplexa; Aconoidasida; Haemosporida; Plasmodiidae
Rfam family: tRNA
About the family: Transfer RNA (tRNA) molecules are approximately 80 nucleotides in length. Their secondary structure includes four short double-helical elements and three loops (D, anti-codon, and T loops). Further hydrogen bonds mediate the characteristic L-shaped molecular structure. tRNAs have two regions of fundamental functional importance: the anti-codon, which is responsible for specific mRNA codon recognition, and the 3' end, to which the tRNAs corresponding amino acid is attached (by aminoacyl-tRNA synthetases). tRNAs cope with the degeneracy of the genetic code in two manners: having more than one tRNA (with a specific anti-codon) for a particular amino acid; and 'wobble' base-pairing, i.e. permitting non-standard base-pairing at the 3rd anti-codon position.
Source: RNAcentral
GGGCCUAUGGCGCAACGGUAGCGCGUCUGAACUCCACAUCAGAAGGCUGGGGGUUCGAAUCCCUCUGGGCUCA